CAUUUCAAUAAUUAACUUGUUUCGUGACGUAUAAUAUUUGCAAGAACGUCAUAGAAUUGAAAUUUGUCAGGAUAAAAAAUUAGCGUUACAUCGCAUUAGCAAAAAAGAUGUAAAUGAGGGUUUAUGAAUUCUGUGUUACACUUUUAUAGUAUACUUCAAUAUGGUAAUUUAAUUGUAUAUUGAAUUUUUCAUAUGACAAACUGUCCAUAAUAACUAAAGAGGUUCUAAGCAAUAUAACGUUGGGCAAUAUAAUUUUCAGCGUAGAAGAUUUCGCAUUUUGAUUCUACUUAUACCACAGAAAGACAUGAUAUAUUACAACUUAUAUAUUAUAUAUCAUAUUAAAAAUUAUAAACGUUUUACCUUCAAAGAGCAGUCCCGAGGGUUUUCAAAAUAUCUCUUCAAGAAAUAGAAAGAGCAGGAUAUUCCCAAAAUUACUAUUACAACUACUAAUGUAAAUGAAACUUGAAUUCCUCGGCAAAGAAUAAGGCAUAGUUACCGGUCCCGCGAUACCGGUUCCAUGAACAUUUUGACCGAUUAAUAUAAGCAGUUACUCGGACAAGAUUCGUUGUGGAGGGGAUCAGGCCCGUUCACGGACGCGUAAAAACAGCUUCACAUUCAAGAGAUCUCAGUCAGAACUAGGUGACCCAACUGUGGUUCCAAUCUACCUGAACUACAUACCGUUUCUUGGGAAGAGGAGAGUGAGAAAGGAAGAAAACAGGAGAAGAAGAGGAAGAUAAAAGAAGAAAAAGAAGAAAAGAAGAUACGGAAAGAAAUCUGAGGCUGGGGCAAGAAGCGGUGGAGAAGAUUAAGAAAAGAAGAGGCCUGGAGAAAUUAGUGGAAAGAAAUGCAGGAAGAAAGAGGAAAGGAGCAAGCUUUGGAAAGAAAAAA
Molecule: long non-coding RNA, 888 nt
Organism: Monomorium pharaonis (pharaoh ant)
Lineage: Eukaryota; Metazoa; Arthropoda; Insecta; Hymenoptera; Formicidae
Exons: 2
Source: RefSeq, a predicted model, not a curated record